CCCUUAGAUGUUCUGGGCUGCACGCGUGUUACACUGAUACAUUCAACAAGUUUUCACCUCGACUGAUAAGUCUGGGUAAUCUUUGAAAUUGUAUCGUGAUGGGGAUAGAUGAUUGCAAUUAUUCAUCUUCAACGAGGAAUGCCUAGUAAACGCAAGUCAUCAACUUGCAUUGAAUACGUUACUGCCCUUUGUACACACCGCCCGUCGCUACUACCGAUUGAAUGGUUUAGUGAGCUGCAUGGAUUGAUAAUUAGUCUUGUUUCGGCAAGUACUUAUUAUUAAGAAGUGAGGCAAAUUUGAUCAUUUAGAGGAAGUAAAANUCGUANCA
RNAcentral lists this ribosomal RNA (328 nucleotides) under uncultured eukaryote. RNAcentral's name for it is "partial 18S ribosomal RNA". It matches the Rfam family "Eukaryotic small subunit ribosomal RNA", at positions 1470 to 1796 of the family's 1831-position model. The record is from RNAcentral.